RNAcentral lists this unclassified non-coding RNA (1016 nucleotides) under Hevea brasiliensis (rubber tree). Lineage: Eukaryota; Viridiplantae; Streptophyta; Magnoliopsida; Malpighiales; Euphorbiaceae. The record is from RNAcentral.
AUUUUACUCAAAAAUAAAUUCAUCUGCUAAAAAUCUCCCAUGAAAUUACAUUGUAAUAUAAAGAACAAAGUAGAAGGGUCUGCGCAACAUCAAAACUAGAUCUGAAAUCAGCAAAUAACCAAAACCAUAAGUAAACAGAACUUCUAAAUUCUGAGGUUGAAAAUUAUAGCCAAGUCUCCAUGGUUUUUUUCCCAUUAAAGAAAAAUCCGCAAAUUAUAAAAGGACAACUAUGAUCCCUAAGACAUUCUUUGAGCGGCUUCUUUGGCGAGCAGCUUCUCCUUGGCUUUCGUUUUAGCCUGGGACUUGGAGCCCAUGAUUCCACCUCCCCAUUUCUUUCUGUAUUCAUCGUACUUGUCGUUGAAAUUGGCCUUAAUGGCUUCAAGAAUCCUGCUGAACUCCAACUUAUCUUCAUUCUUGACAGUCGUCAAGCACAAAACAGAUGCAGUCUUUUUGUGGACAAUCGCUCCCAAUCGUGCUUUUCCCUUCACAAUGCAAUAUGGGAUUUCCAUCUUCCUGCAGAGGGCUGGGAGCCAAACAACCAACUCAAUCGGAUCCACAUCAUGGGCAAUCACAACCAGCUGUGCUUUGUUCUGCUCAAUAAGGUAGGUGACAUGGUUGAGACCGUAUUUCACAACAAUAGGUUUUUUAGCAUCAUGUGGCUUGCCUUCAGCCUCUUCCUGAGCUCUUUUUAGAAGGCGUUCCCUUUUCUGUGAUUUGUCCUCUGGCCUAUACUUCAAAAGCAUCUUGAACAGGUUUGUUGCAAGGUUUUUGUCAAGGGUCUUAGUGAACUGAUUCAAAGCUGGUGGAACCUUCAACCUCUGUUUAAGAAUUCGCUUCUUCCUCUGAAUUUGAACAACUUUUGGCCAUUUAACAAAUCGGGUCAAAUCCCUCUUUGGUGGAAUUGCACCACCAAUUCCAAACUGCUUCGGACGCUUCUCAAAUAGUGGGUUCACCACCUUCUCCGGCUUCUUUUUUGCCAAGGCUUUUCCAACAGCCUUCUUUGGUGCCAUUUUGCG